AAAAAAAAAAGGCACAACAAAACCACAAAACCAAACUUGUAAGUGAAGCUGCAAAUGCAGCCGAAUAGUCCGGAUCAGACAAUUCAUUGCACAAAAAAAAAAGAGGAUAAAUGGAACUGCAAUGGCCGGCUUUGCUGUAGAUCCGGGAGGAGGGAUCAGCGCCUUUAUCCCACCAUCUCGCGCUCCAAACACCACCAUUUUUCUCUCUCUAAUUUUUUUUUUUUUUUUUGUUUAAUGUGCUUUGUUGGGGCGUUUUGUUUCGAGCCGAGCGGGGCUGCACCACCCCUGAGCCCCGAGCCGGGGCUGCCAGAGCCGCUCAUGGGCUUCACUUUUACAGAGAUCUCUGUUUUUUUUUUUCCCCCGGCCUUGUGCAAUCCUCUCCCUUCUAUUACGUGUUUUUUCCCCUCUGCGGAUAUAAAGGUUUCUCUCCCCUCUCCAGCUUGGCUGCUUAUUCCAGAAGCUUCCACGGGGGCGGGGAGCCCCCACUGCAGCGCCUUUGCCGCAGCGCCGGGCAGGAGGAGGAGGAGGAGGAGGAGGAGGAGGAGGAUGCGGAGGAUGCACCACCUCUCCCUGGCUGGGAGCCUCAUUCCAAGCCUCUCCCCCUCGCUCCGUUCCCCCAGCCUUGAAAACACAGCGCUGGGAGGUGUUUGCAGCUUGAUUUUUUUUUUUAAUCUUUUUUUUUUUUCCUGAAUAAAUGGAAAGCAGAGCUAUUGCUGAUGGAGAUGGAUGAGGGCAGGACUGGCAGCGUGGCCAGGGCACCGAUGGCACAAGUGACCUUUCCCAGGCGGUGGGAGGGAGGAUUCCCCUCCCACCCCAGCAUGCUCCUGCUUGGAAUUCAUUUUAAAUAGCAGGAGCAUUAUUUUUUAUUUUCUUUUCCCCCUCCCUUUGCUCCCUCACUGAUUUUUGGUUGGGUUAUUUUUUUCUUUUUUUUUUUUUGAAGCUUCCUCACAAUCUUUUUUUCCUGUGUGUGUUUUGAAUUGCGUUUUAAAAUUGCCCAGCUGGAGACAAGGCUUGAUUAGAGCUGGAACAAUAGCUCCCUUUUAUUAAUAACGGGAAGGAUUUACAAUCCUACAGCACCUUCCUUGGAAAGCUUUCCAAACCAUUUGCAAACACUCACAAAUUUCAGAUUGCACAGCCCUUGGCUGUGAGGUGGGUAAGUAUUUUAAUGGUGCCACCACCCAAAAUCACCUCGGUGGCAAAUCUACAUUUUUAAGAGCUUUAAAAGAUGACGAAUUUGUUUGGGUUUUUUUUUUGGGGGGUGGGGAGGGGGGUGUAUGAGGGGGGCUAUUUAAAAGCUGUAACCUAAAUCUGUAGAUGCAGAUCAUUUGCUGCGUCCUGGGAACUGGGCAGUUCUCCCUCCCACCACGCAGCUUUCCAGAGCUGAGCUGUGGAUUUGCUGCACGUCAGUAAACAUCUGCUUAUGGAUUUUUUUUUUUUAUUCCCUUUUUUAAUCCAUUCCCUUUAUGCAGUCCCCAAGUGACCUCCUGCAGCGCUGCAGUUCGACCACAGCUUUGCACUGAAGCACUGAUGUGUCUCCCUGGGAGCCAGAGUGACCUUGCUGGGGGACUGGGCCCACCAGGCAAUGCAGAUGCUCCUCUUCAUCCCAGAUCCCUGUACCCCUUUUUCCCCAAGGCAUCCCUUCCCUCACCCAGGGGGAUGUUACAGUGUUACAGUGGGCAAAGCUGUUUCAUGCCUUAGUUUUUCUCUCUUUUUAAUUUUUUUUUUUAUUUCCUGGGGAAAUAGUGGGUUGUUUGUGUAACCCCUCUCCCCAGCAGAUCCCUACUAGCCACGCAGGGAUCUGCAAGUCCCUUGGGCAGUGGGAUCCCGCCUUUCCAUGAGUGUGAGGCUCCAUCCGUGUCCGUGUGUGUCAUACACGGGUCACAAAACCCCACAGUGUUCCUGUGGUUAGUUUUGUCUGGAGACCGUGAGUGGGUCCCAGGGCUUCCCCUUCCCACCACUUGCUGGUUCACAAAGGCUGAUGCUUCUGGAAAAAGCUCUGCCUUGUGGCCUUUUUUAAAAAAAAAAUAAAUAAAUAAAGUGGCACUGCUGGGGAUUAGUCAUCCUUAUUUUUGAAGGAAGCUGUUUGCCAGCGCUGUCUGUAUCACGCAUGUGCGUGUGAGAUGGGAACUCCAGAAGGCUGGUAACGUGCUCCGCUCGCUGCUCCUUGGAGCUGAGCCACCCAGGCUCCAUUGAGCUGCUCCUGGCAGGUGGAAAAACUGACAGUCCGGCUUUCCAGACCCUUUCCCUCCAUUUUUUCAGGGCUGGAAUCUCUGCAUUGGCAGGUGUGGAAACGUGGAGGCUGUAACUGCAGUGAGCGAGGACGGAUGAGCUGUUUUCUGGGGUCACGUCCAAGUCCAGAGAAGAAACCCUGGGCUGUGUUGGUUUGGAGAUACGCCUCGUGCUCGUCACAGGGAGCUUCAGAGAAGCAAGAAGUUGGCUGUUGGGAUGAUUCCACAUUUUUCAGCCUGGCACACCCUGUGGGACUUGGAAUUACUUUCCUUUGGCAGUUUAGGAUAAACGAGUGAGAAUUACCUUAUGAGUACUGAACUUUUACCACCCUGAAGACUUACUUGAGCUACAUCCAUGGCACUUCCAAGCUAAACAAAACCUGGAUUUCUGGUGCCAAAAAGUGAUACGAACCUCCUCCGUACAGGGGGAAAGCGUGGUCUUGCAAGCUUUCCUGUUAUCCCAGAGAGUUAAAAUGCUGCUCUGUGAGAUCUGCAGAGGUGACAUGAAAUCCAAAGGCAGCUGAGAAACUUCUCCUGUGCUGUGUUGCUGGAGAGGCUUCUGAGAGCAGCAGGUCUCGAUGCACAAAUAUUUCCCUUUAUGCUUUCUCUGGAGUGAAGGAGCGAUAACUGCAAGGACACGGGUUCACUCUGCUUGCUUUAAACACCCUCGUGUUGCUGCGGUAUCAAAAUGGUGUUUGAUGAAACAAAAGCUCUGAUGGUGGUGGCUCAGUGUUUAUUUUGUGCUGGGUGUGCUGAUCAGUCCAACGGGGAAUGUGGGAAGAGCAGCCUAAGGCUCGAAGGUUUGGACUGGGGGGGUUGUGUUAAAGCCUUGUCCUGCAACAUUUCCAGCCUGAUUUCUGUGAUUUCCUCCCCCCCCGGCAUUGCACACAGAAAAAAAAAUUAUAUUUUGAUGUAGAUUUAAUACAACAAUUAGGUGUUAUAAAUGGCAAAGUACAGGACUUAGUGAUCUAACCAGUCCUAGGGGAUUUAUAUCCUUUGCAGUUUUCCUGUUUGGGUAUCAAAUCACAUGGCUUUUUUUUUUUACAUUUAUUUUCUUUGUUUUUGCCCUGAAAUUUUGCUGCCUGGAA
Molecule: long non-coding RNA, 3316 nt
Organism: Empidonax traillii (willow flycatcher)
Lineage: Eukaryota; Metazoa; Chordata; Aves; Passeriformes; Tyrannidae
Exons: 2
Source: RefSeq, a predicted model, not a curated record